AUUGAACGCUGGCGGCAGGCUUAACACAUGCAAGUCGAACGAGCGGCGGACGGGUGAGCAAUGUAUGGGGAUCUGCCUGAGGGAGGGGGAUAACUACUGGAAACGGUAGCUAAUACCGCAUACCAUCAGAUGAACCCAUAUGGGAUGAGCUUGUAGGUGAGGUAACGGCUCACCUAGGCGACGAUCCCUAGCUGGUCUGAGCGGAUGAUCUGCCACCCUGGGACUGAGACACGGCCCAUAUGCCUACGGGAGGCAGCGGUGGGUAAUAUUGCCCUGUGGGCGCAAGCUUGAUGCAGCCAUGCCGCGUGUAUGAAGAAGGCCUUCGGGUUGUAAAGUACUUUCAGCGAGGAGGCGUAACCCGCAGAUGAAGCACCGGCUACCUCCUGGCCAGCAGCCGCGGUAAUU
RNAcentral lists this ribosomal RNA (405 nucleotides) under uncultured bacterium. RNAcentral describes it as "partial 16S ribosomal RNA". It matches the Rfam family "Bacterial small subunit ribosomal RNA", at positions 30 to 525 of the family's 1533-position model. The record is from RNAcentral.